AGGAAUACCAGUGGCGAAGGCGGCCUUCUGGCCUGACACUGACACUGAGGUGCGAAAGCGUGGGUAGCAAACAGGAUUAGAUACCCUGGUAGUCCACGCCGUAAACGAUGUCGACUAGCCGUUGGGACCUUUAAGGACUUAGUGGCGCAGUUAACGCGAUAAGUCGACCGCCUGGGGAGUACGGCCGCAAGGUUAAAACUCAAAUGAAUUGACGGGGGCCCGCACAAGCGGUGGAGCAUGUGGUUUAAUUCGAUGCAACGCGAAGAACCUUACCUACCCUUGACAUCCAGAGAACUUGGCAGAGAUGCCUUGGUGCCUUCGGGAACUCUGAGACAGGUGCUGCAUGGCUGUCGUCAGCUCGUGUUGUGAAAUGUUGGGUUAAGUCCCGUAACGAGCGCAACCCUUGUCCUUAUUUGCCAGCACGUAAUGGUGGGAACUCUAAGGAGACUGCCGGUGACAAACCGGAGGAAGGUGGGGACGACGUCAAGUCAUCAUGGCCCUUACGGGUAGGGCUACACACGUGCUACAAUGGCCGGUACAAAGGGUUGCGAGACCGCGAGGUGGAGCGAAUCCCAGAAAGCCGGCCUCAGUCCGGAUCGGAGUCUGCAACUCGACUCCGUGAAGUCGGAAUCGCUAGUAAUCGUGAAUCAGAAUGUCACGGUGAAUACGUUCCCGGGCCUUGUACACACCGCCCGUCACACCAUGGGAGUGGACUGCACCAGAAGUGGUUAGCUUAACCUUCGGGGGAGCGAUCACACGGUGUGGUUCAUGACUGGGGUGAAGUCGUAA
This 789-nucleotide ribosomal RNA is filed under the name Salinicola sp. S36. RNAcentral's name for it is "bacterial SSU rRNA". It matches the Rfam family "Bacterial small subunit ribosomal RNA", at positions 702 to 1491 of the family's 1533-position model. Lineage: Bacteria; Pseudomonadati; Pseudomonadota; Gammaproteobacteria; Oceanospirillales; Halomonadaceae. The record is from RNAcentral.